RNAcentral lists this ribosomal RNA (492 nucleotides) under uncultured bacterium. RNAcentral describes it as "partial 16S ribosomal RNA". It matches the Rfam family "Bacterial small subunit ribosomal RNA", at positions 29 to 507 of the family's 1533-position model. The record is from RNAcentral.
AGUGAACGCUGGCGGUAGGCCUAACACAUGCAAGUCGAACGGCAGCACAGUAAGAGCUUGCUCUUACGGGUGGCGAGUGGCGUACGGGUGAGGAAUACAUCGGAAUCUACUUUUUCGUGGGGGAUAACGUAGGGAAACUUACGCUAAUACCGCAUACGACCUACGGGUGAAAGCAGGGGAUCUUCGGACCUUGCGCGAUUGAAUGAGCCGAUGUCGGAUUAGCUAGUUGGCGGGGUAAAGGCCCACCAAGGCGACGAUCCGUAGCUGGUCUGAGAGGAUGAUCAGCCACACUGGAACUGAAACGCGGUCUAGACUCCUACGGGAGGCAGCAGUGGGGAAUAUUGGACAAUGGGCGCAAGCCUGAUCCAGCCAUACCGCGUGGGUGAAGAAGGCCUUCGGGUUGUAAAGCCCUUUUGUUGGGAAAGAAAAGCAGCAGGUUAAUACCCCGCUGUUCUGACGGUACCCAAAGAAUAAGCACCGGCUAACUUCGUG